RNAcentral lists this ribosomal RNA (492 nucleotides) under uncultured bacterium. RNAcentral's name for it is "partial 16S ribosomal RNA". It matches the Rfam family "Bacterial small subunit ribosomal RNA", at positions 30 to 507 of the family's 1533-position model. The record is from RNAcentral.
AUUGAACGCUGGCGGCAUGCUUUACACAUGCAAGUCGAACGGUAACAGGCCUUCGGGUGCUGACGAGUGGCGAACGGGUGAGUAAUGCAUCGGAACGUACCCAGAGGUGGGGGAUAACGCAGCGAAAGCUGUGCUAAUACCGCAUGUGAUCUGAGGAUGAAAGCGGGGGACCGAGCAGCAAUUUUUGGCCUCGCGCCUUUGGAGCGGCCGAUGUCGGAUUAGCUAGUUGGUGGGGUAAAGGCCUACCAAGGCGACGAUCCGUAGCUGGUCUGAGAGGACGACCAGCCACACUGGGACUGAGACACGGCCCAGACUCCUACGGGAGGCAGCAGUGGGGAAUUUUGGACAAUGGGCGCAAGCCUGAUCCAGCAAUGCCGCGUGCGGGAAGAAGGCCUUCGGGUUGUAAAACGCUUUUGGCAGGAACGAAACGGUGUCCGCUAAUACCGGGCGCUAAUGACGGUACCUGCAGAAUAAGCACCGGCUAACUACGUG